GGCCGUGUGGCUCAAUGGCAGAGCGUCUGACUACGAGUGGCUUCAACUUGCCAUGUGUUAUCAGAAGGUCGCAGGUUCGACCCCUGUCUCGGUCA
Non-coding RNA from Epichloe festucae Fl1, 95 nucleotides. NCBI's taxonomy places the organism in Eukaryota, Fungi, Ascomycota, Sordariomycetes, Hypocreales, Clavicipitaceae. The record is from the annotation of a GenBank genome assembly.